This 73-nucleotide transfer RNA is filed under the name Stegodyphus mimosarum. It matches the Rfam family "tRNA". From Rfam's summary of the family: Transfer RNA (tRNA) molecules are approximately 80 nucleotides in length. Their secondary structure includes four short double-helical elements and three loops (D, anti-codon, and T loops). The record is from Rfam by way of RNAcentral. Lineage: Eukaryota; Metazoa; Arthropoda; Arachnida; Araneae; Eresidae.
GCCUUCGUGGUGUAGUGGUCAGCACGGUGGAUGCGUAUUCCAGAGGCCCGUGGUUCGAGUCCCGGGAAAGGCG